Triticum dicoccoides is the source of this 567-nucleotide long non-coding RNA. RefSeq lists it as uncharacterized. The transcript is spliced from 2 exons. The record is from RefSeq and is a predicted model, not a curated record. NCBI's taxonomy places the organism in Eukaryota, Viridiplantae, Streptophyta, Magnoliopsida, Poales, Poaceae.
UUAUUGCAUAAAACACAUACCGAUAAUACCAUUUCACAUAAGAAGAUGACCAGUGCUAAGGCAAUAGGAGUUUUAUGCUUCCUAGUCUUUGUGGCCUUCUCUUCAUAUCCACACCGUGCACAAGCAGAUCACUGCGCCGCGGAUAAAAGUAAGGUGAUGAGGGAAUGUUGGAGGAACAUUGGGAAGAAUGUUGGCGAGCACCCCCUUCUACAUGGGAGCGCAUGUUGCCAGGUGAUAAGGGCAACAACAGACAUCCACUGCGUCUGUGAUAAAUUCACAGCUCCCGAACUGGCUAGGAUCAGCCUAGCCAAGUUUGCCAUGGCUACACAUGUGUGCGGCAAUGGGCUGCGUGCACACACUCACUGUGCAGGUUACACAGUUCCUGUUAUAACGCUACCUACACCCCCACCUCCGGGCAGUACCUAGAAAUUCAUUGUAAGGGCUGUCUGAUAAUGUGGAGAAAUAAGUGAAUAAAAAAAGGAAUGAUGUGGCAUUUGCAUAAUGUGUUCUUUAUUUGGAUGCAAAUAUAAAAGGAAAAUGGCCAUGAACUCGUCGUUCUUUCUAUUA